AUGGCAGGCAGCCAACCAGGCGAAAGCAACGGCGGUGCCACGGAUUCCAUCCUUACCGUUGCCGGACAGAUGAAGCCGUUUCCUGCGUACGCUAUUAGCCUGUUCCGCGACUACGACCUCGAGGGCGUCACGGCCGCGUUGGCCAAAGUUGUCAAUUGCUCGUACGAGGUACAGAUGGAAGCCUUCACUAAGGCUCUGGAACAGUCCAAGUAUUCUGGUGCCAUUGGAGCAUUCCCCAACGAAGGCAAGGCCAAGGACGAGGAAGAGGAUGAAGAUGAGGAGGGCGUGGUGGAUGAAGAUGAGGAGGACGUGGUGGAUGAAGAUGAAGACGACGAGGUGGAUGAAGAUGAGGAGGACCGUGAAGAUGAAGAUGAUGAGAUACUGACGUUUCAAGUCCCUUAUGAAGGCGAACGAGAGCGCAAGAAGCCAAGACUAGCAGAAGGCUUUGGGUGCCAGGCUGAGGCUGACGUUUAG
RNAcentral lists this ribosomal RNA (474 nucleotides) under Triticum aestivum (bread wheat). RNAcentral describes it as "partial small subunit ribosomal RNA". Lineage: Eukaryota; Viridiplantae; Streptophyta; Magnoliopsida; Poales; Poaceae. The record is from RNAcentral.